CCUACGGGCGGCAGCAGUGGGGAAUAUUGGACAAUGGGCGAAAGCCUGAUCCAGCCAUGCCGCGUGUGUGAAGAAGGCCUUCGGGUUGUAAAGCACUUUCAGUGGGGAAGAAAGCCUUGGGGCUAAUACCCUCGAGGAAGGACAUCACCCACAGAAGAAGCACCGGCUAACUCCGUGCCAGCAGCCGCGGUAAUACGGAGGGUGCGAGCGUUAAUCGGAAUUACUGGGCGUAAAGCGCGCGUAGGCGGUCUGAUAAGCCGGUUGUGAAAGCCCCGGGCUCAACCUGGGAACGGCAUCCGGAACUGUCAGGCUAGAGUGCAGGAGAGGAAGGUAGAAUUCCCGGUGUAGCGGUGAAAUGCGUAGAGAUCGGGAGGAAUACCAGUUGCGAAGGCGGCCUUCUGGACUGACACUGACGCUGAGGUGCGAAAGCGUGGGUAGCAAACAGGAUUAGAUACCCGUGUAGUC
RNAcentral lists this ribosomal RNA (465 nucleotides) under Vreelandella stevensii. Its description in RNAcentral is "partial 16S ribosomal RNA". It matches the Rfam family "Bacterial small subunit ribosomal RNA", at positions 338 to 795 of the family's 1533-position model. Lineage: Bacteria; Pseudomonadati; Pseudomonadota; Gammaproteobacteria; Oceanospirillales; Halomonadaceae. The record is from RNAcentral.